UUUCCAUUAUUCCUUAAGAUUUUCUCUUUGCUUCUUUUAGUAACCCUAACAAGAUUGGUUCAAAGUCUUGAAAAUGAAAAUGGCAAAUUUAUGUUUUGCCAAAAGGGUUAUCUCCGUCUCCAUCUAAAUCUCUAAUCUUCCAAAAUUUUCCCUAAAUUUGCAGUCGAUUCAUCUGCCUGUUUGUGGGGAAGGGGUGCUAAGGUCAUCUUCUCAGUUGUGUAACUUUUCUUCUAAAGAUCAAGAAUCCAAAGAAGAACGAGGAAAAGAAAAGUAAAGGACUAAAGUGUAAGGUUUAGUCACAUUUUGUAUCAAGUACUUAUCUAGUCACUCGGGAUCGAAGGAAAUGUCGGAGGCCGAUCACACUAUCAAAGAAAUAACUUCGGUAUAACUAGUCGUUUUGUUUUGGGUAUGGCAUGUAUAGAAACUUAGCUACUUUUGGUAUAAUAUGAAUAAUGAAUGAUGUGUAAAUACUUGCUAGUGAUUAGCUAAGAAAAUAGCUGAUGAUAUACAUGUUUAUUAAUAUGUAUGAUUGAAUGAUGAUUAUCACAUGAAAAUUAUGAAAA
Molecule: long non-coding RNA, 563 nt
Organism: Gossypium arboreum
Lineage: Eukaryota; Viridiplantae; Streptophyta; Magnoliopsida; Malvales; Malvaceae
Exons: 4
Source: RefSeq, a predicted model, not a curated record